GAAAACUAAUAUAUACGGUUUUCAUAGGAAAACAACUUGGACUAAAAUAAAUAAUAUUUUAUAGAUAAAUACCAAAAAAAAAGUUGAUGGCCAAAAUAAUGGGCCAAUUUUUGCAGUUCGAAGCCCACCAGGCCCAUGAUGUGCAUUAGUUAUUUAUUUAUUUAUUUUGAAAAAAACCCGAAGGGGGUCAAAAUUCCUUCACUGCCUUUCAAUAUUGGUUAAGGGAAAUUCCUAAACAAAUCCAUCACUUUGUUUCGCCAUCAUCAUCAGUCCAUCAAAAGAUGAAAUCUUUGACAACAAAUCGUGAUUUUAUUUAUUUUCCCGUUGACAUUUGAACGUGGAUCAUGCACUAACUUUUCUAAGUUCAAAAUUAAUGGAUGCUUCUGAUGUAUUGAAUUUGUUAAUCGCCAUUGGAGUUUGGUGUGCUGCUUAUAUUUCCGUCGCCAUUCUUGCAUCUUUCCGUUUCCUCAAUUCCAUGUGCCCUUGUUAAAUCAUCAAACUCAUUUGGCCCCGCAAGUGGUAAUAGUAGGUUACUAAAUGUUUGCCCAUCUUUAGUUGCUUUAUUUUUGCUUUAUAUAUUAGAAUUGCCUUAUUGUUUUCAACAUUCGACACCCAGAUGAAAAUUUGGAUAAUAUGUUGAUUGGAUGACCGGAUAAUGGCUAUCUUUUUUUUUUUUUUUUUUUGAAAAACUUCCCAUGUAUCGGAAUAUAUAUUUGUGUGUAGAUGUGUGUAUUCGUGUUGAAUGUGAUGCUGCAAAUCCUAUGCUUUGGGAAGAUGAUUUGAGUAUGAUCUUUAAGUUUAUCAAAGUUUGAGAUUACGAUGAAUGAGUGUAUCCCUAUUACUAUGAAUGUAUAUUGAGAGGAAAUGUGUCAAGUGGUGCUAUGCUCUUUCAGAAUGUUACUGCUCUAUCAGACUUGUAAUGCUCUUGUUUUCAUGUUUAAUGCUAUUUUAAUUUUUAUUGCAUCCUUGAUGUUCUUUGAGUUUUGCUAUGAGAGUUGAACCGUGCGUUGCUUCUCAAUUAGUUCCAAUAAAAACAUUAUGUCUUUUGAGUGCCUCAGUUGUGUUUCCAGAUAGAUCUCAUAUUUGAUUAAUUGUGUUACAUGUCAUGGUCAGGUUUAAAUCGACAUUAUUAAUGGAUUCUUUUGAUAUUUAAUUCAUUUUUUAUCUGUUGGUCAUUUGUCCCUUUAUUAAGGAACCUAGAAACCUCUACAUUGUAUGUUUCUUUGUAGAGGGUAACCGAAGUUAAUGGUUGGCUGUAUAUUUUUAUCCAGAAGAAAUUUAUUGUUCUAUUUUGAUUUUCAUUCUUUUAUGCUUGUAUAACACAUAUUCAGACUACUCUAUAUUUGUGUAACUAGAAUUAUCUGAACUUUGCUUGGAUUCCUUGUUACCAUCAUCAUCAUCAUAUUAUUUUUCUCACACUUCUCGGUGUUUGGCUUCCUAGGGGCAUGGCAUUUCAUUGAAACUAAUCCCUCUUCAGUUGGUAAAUUUUGGAAAAAGGAAAUAAAAACGGAAUUGACGAAGGGAUUUGCUGUGGUAGUUGUUUUAGUUCUAUAUGGCGGUAAUUAGUUAGGAUCAUUGUGCUCUUGGGGUCUUCUUUUCUUGCUUUAGACUUCUCCAUGUUUUGCAUAUUUACUGGUAAUCGACAGCUUCAGUGCAAGCUGCUGCAUAUUUGCUUGUUACUGCCGUGAGCAUAAUGUUUAUGUGUCUUGGUGUGGAAGCUUGGCAAUUUAUUAAAGAUGUUCACUUUUUACUUAUCUGGUGACAGUAAGACUAACUGUGACAUUAUUUCUUCGAAAUUCUCAUUAGGUUCCGAACAGUAAAAGAUUCCCCAUAUGAUUUGGUGAUAGUUUUGAUGCCCUUUCAAGAAUAGAGCUUAGCCUCCUAAGAGUUUAUUCAUUUGAUACGUGUAAUUAGACAAUUGAAAAUAUAGUAUUGGAGUUUGUUUUGGACUUCAAUCUCUUUUUUAUUUUAUCAAACGUGAUUUGAGUGUUUACUUGGAAGGUCAUUAGGCAAAAAUGAACUUGAAUGUUAUGUUUUUUCACCAACAUUUUGUAUAUUGUAUGACCAAUGUUGGCUAUUUUCCUUGCAGUUGGCAAUAUAUAUCCCGACUCAUCUUUACAACUGCAUCGAGCACUGGGUAUAUGCUGAUGUAAUGGUUACUUGCUCAACUUGGCAACUGGGAAGAUGCAGAUGUCAAUGUUAGAGAUUUUAAUCCAGGCAAUGAGGUUAUUAUAUCAACUAUUUUACGGAAAAGGGUUCUACAAAUCUGAAGCAAACUUUCCAACUGAGUGGUUGUUUGCAUGUACAUUUGUGAGGCAUUUUUAUUAAAUCAUGAUCAUGAGCAAUACCAAAGUAAAAUUUUUUGAGGCUUUGCUAUCUUGUGCUUUUCAAGUGUCAUACAAAUGUCUAAUCUUUUAUGCAAUAAUAAACUACCAAAAUAUUUAGGGAAAUUUACACUAAUAACCAUAAAAAUUUUAGUUUUUUCCAUCUUAACCUCUCAAACAAAUUUCUAUCAACAUUAGCCAUAAAAGAACCGUUGAGACCAAAUUACCCCUCUCUCUCAUCUCCCUUUCCUCUUCCUCUUGCCUUCUUCUCUCCAGUUUUGUACUAAUUUCAGCAUCCGUACAGCCCGCCUAGCAUUUCGCAACGUGGCUUUUGAUGGAAAAUCUCGGGGAAUUUGAAUUCCGAAAUUGGAUUUUAGAGAAUUAAAAAGUGGGAGAAACUCUAUGGUAGAGCUACUGCAUGUUAGUCACACCCCGAGUUUUAAAGUUGCGGAAUACCUAAAUGAUAUUCUACAGAGAGCAUUUAUAGACAUUAGUCUUUGAAAAAGCUUCAGGAGAGGACAUGCGCCCAUAGUUUUUUGCUUUGUGUAGCAGUCUCAAGCUUGCUAUUUCACUCUGCUGCCCAAAGCCUGCAGAGUUAGAUGCUGCGCAGAAUGGUAGUUGGGAUCUUAAUGAUUUUCUGAAGGGUUGCAUGGAGGAGCUUCCUGAGCAUAAAGCAAAAUAAUCAGUCGCUGAUCCAGAGGAUCAAUUGUCACAUAACAAAUGAAAAUCCUCGGUUCGUCAACUAAGUUUUAUCUACGUACACCUAACUGCCCAUUUGCCUUCCUUCACACUUCUUGGCCAACCUUGCCAAGAGAAAUGAAGCAGGAAUAUACAAGUCGUAUUACAAAAUUAUGGGCAAACCUUUCGAGCACACAAAUGGCAAUCCUUUGAAAAAAAAAAAUUCAUCCCACAAUAGACAUAAAUAUACUUGUCUCAGCGAGCUGCUCCGACUUGAUACGAUUUGCAAACACACAUCAGAAAUCCACCUAAGCCCUUGGCUCACAUAUAUGGACUCAACUGCUGCCAUUUUCUUCAACUUGUGAGCCUUCAAUGUAUGUCGGGAUCCCAUUUUUUCCAGCAUUCUCACUGUACGUCAAUAGGUCAUUAUACAUCGUUAGAGAAGUCUUGGAGAAUUCUGCCAACGACUCAAAAACUGUCGAAAAACCGGUCUGAAUUCCAUUCAACGUGAUCCUUUGUGUUUCUUGAAUGCAGUUUUGGUGUUUCUCCUUUUCAGCUUCCAGUUUCCUUCUGAACAUGUCCAACUGACCCUUCUUCAUUGUCAAAGCUUGGUGCAACUGGUGCCUGUCGCACCAAGACUUGGGCCUGUCGCACCAAGCUUCUUUUCGAUUAUAAAGAAGGGUAAUUUGGGGAGAAAAGCGUGUGUUUGGCUAAUGUUGAUAGAAAAAAGUUGAGAGGGUUAAUUGUGAAAAUAGCAAAAAUUUUAUGGUUAUUUUCGUAAAUUUCCCAAAUAUUUAACCGGUGGUUCACCAAGGCUUGGAUGGGCAUUGCAAGUUCAUGCAAGUAGGCAUGGUAAAGGCCUCAAAAAACUUAGUUAGAUAAGCCAUAAAAAGAAUGCAUUUGUAAUAUUGGAAGUGUCAGUGCUGCGAUCAGUUAAAUAAGCGCUUCCUCAUGUCAACACAGGGAAGAUUGGCAAGUUAUCCCUUAAUUUUCCUAAACUAUUUUUUUUAUUUUCAAAUAUGUUUUUGUUCAUAUUUAUUAUAAAUUAAAUAUGAAUGAAAUUAAAAUAUUAAUGAUAAAAAAUAUAAGUUUUAGCAUGAAUAAUUUUUUUGUAAUUUUUAUUUUUAAAAAAUAUUUUUUUAAUGAUAUGUAUUUUAUAUUUUGAAAAUCCAAUAUCAAUAAAAUGACCCAUUUAUGCUUCUUUUUUCUUUAGAUUUUUUGUGACAGGGAGAUUAUUAAAUAUUAUGUAAAUAAUAAAGGAUAGAUGAUAGCAAAAUAAAACCUCAAUAAAUCAAUAUUUGAUAAAAAUAAUAACCUUGAUUAGAUUAUAAAUAUUUAGGUCCCAACUUACACCAAUGUACUAAAUUAAUCAUCUUGCUAAAUGCAUAAGAUAACAAUUUUUUUUUAAUGGGAAUCCUAUAGGGUUCAAUGAAAUAUAUAUUAACAAUUAGUGAAAUACAAAUAAAAAAUAAUAGAUAUAUAAAAUUCAUAAUAUUAAGGAGUUUUUCUUGACAAUUUUAAUUUUUUUUAAUUUAACUCUUUUCUAAAAUAUACAUAUGAUUAAUUGAGAGAAAAAAUAUAAUGACUGCUGUAUUUAUAAAAUUUGUGUUAUGUAUACUUUAAGCAUCUGAAAUACUUUUAACUUCUAAGGUAUUAAAUUUGAAAAAUACAUACAUCAAUUUCACGUCUAUGGACAAUGCAUUUAUAUUAAUUUUUCUGCUCCUAUGUAAAUGUUCUAACAUUUAUUAAUUUUUUUUAAUAUACUUGAAAGGAAUAGUAGUCACGCCCAACGACACUAAUAAUUAAAACAUAAAAUUCUUAUUAAAUUAAUAAAUAUUUAUUUAUCAAUAAAUUGAUAAAUUAUUCAUUUAUUGAAAGUAUCGUUAAGAUCAUAUUUUUUCCCCUUAAUUCCAACAAUAUUAUUUACAGAGAUUUUCUGGUGUAUCAAUCUCACUACUUCAGUGUGAAGAAUCAGCAAUCUCCCGUCAACAUAGUUAGUUAGUCCAGAAGGAAUUUCUCUAGCUGCUGGUUCGCUAUGAUCACUCAGAGUAAAAAUAUUUGUUGCAUUGUCUAAUUUCAGCACAUUGACUACAAAAGAUUGAAAUACUGGAAUUUCAGCAAACAACCAGGUCUCAUCAGCAUUUGAAAGCUCAUAGAAACAACACUGUUCUCAACCUAUCAAACAAGCCAGGUUCUUUAAUUUUAGUAAUCUCUGAAAAU
Molecule: long non-coding RNA, 5222 nt
Filed under: Citrus x clementina
Lineage: Eukaryota; Viridiplantae; Streptophyta; Magnoliopsida; Sapindales; Rutaceae
Description: Citrus clementina (C. clementina) long non-coding RNA (CCLE_LNC005573)
Source: RNAcentral